Molecule: ribosomal RNA, 253 nt
Filed under: uncultured bacterium
Lineage: Bacteria
Description: partial 16S ribosomal RNA
Rfam family: Bacterial small subunit ribosomal RNA
Source: RNAcentral
UACGUAGGGUGCGAGCGUUGUCCGGAAUUAUUGGGCGUAAAGGGCUCGUAGGCGGUCUGUUGCGUCGGGAGUGAAAACUCAGGGCUUAACCCUGAGCCUGCUUCCGAUACGGGCAGACUAGAGGUAUGCAGGGGAGAACGGAAUUCCUGGUGUAGCGGUGAAAUGCGCAGAUAUCAGGAGGAACACCGGUGGCGAAGGCGGUUCUCUGGGCAUUACCUGACGCUGAGGCACGAAAGCGUGGGGAGCAAACAGG